Delphinapterus leucas (beluga whale) is the source of this 2009-nucleotide long non-coding RNA. RefSeq lists it as uncharacterized. Lineage: Eukaryota; Metazoa; Chordata; Mammalia; Artiodactyla; Monodontidae. The record is from RefSeq and is a predicted model, not a curated record.
AGCCCCUUCCCAGAUGGGGAGUUCAGGUGGAUUCUUCCCACUGCGACCCUUUCUCCUUGGAGGACCCUACAUCUCUCCUAGGAAGGCCUUUGGGACUUAAACUCCACUUGAGUGCGGACAGUAUACAUGUUGUCUUCCAGAAGUACUAGCAUUCACACUGGCCAACCUGACUGUGUUUGAUAGGGGUUUGGCCACAGCAUACGGGCAUUUUAACCCAGCUUUAUUACAGCCACCAAAAUUAGACAAAUUAAUUGCCAAAAUUAACCCCCCUGCAGACAUAUCAAAAUAUACCAGUCUGGGGUUUCAGGCAGGGUAUAACAGAAGGGCAGCUAAUUAAAGCAGCUAAUUUUCAAUGUCUCCACCUCCCCGCCAAAAGUUGACCAGCUCAUGCUUCCAUAAUAUCAGAGAAAAGAAUCUUUCGAAAUCUACAUUAACUUAUCAGUAACAUUUUAGUUAGUGAAAUGUUAGCUUAACUCAACUUCCUUUAAACAGUCCUCAGCUGUCCUCAGCUAUGAUGGUAACUGCUGUGUAGGAUUUGAUCAGUGCUCAUAGGUGAUACAAUAUUAACUACCAUUUAUUGUGCCAGGCCCUGUGCUAGGAAUUUUACGGAGAUUAUCUAAUUCAAUCCUCAGGACAACUGUGGCAGCUAGUCUUCCCCAUUACACAGAUGAGAAAGUUGAGGCUGUGAAAGAUUAACUUGUCUCCAGACCACAAAAUCCCGAACUGGCUAUGCACAGUGCGGGAGCUGAACCAUACUGCCACCUACAGCCGCGCUGACAUCCCUCCUGCUCAGCUCAGCCCAGCUCCCAGGGAGUCCCAGGCCCCAGGCAAAUGAGGAGUGUCUACAGCAGUGGGACAGCUUUGAAUCUGACCUCCGCGGAAAACUUCUUUAAAUGAGAAGUGAGCUAAUCAGUGCUUAAUACAGGGCCCAGGCGGAGGCCAGGAGAGCAGCACUUGCUUCUGCUCCGAAGAGUGGAGCACAUGUGUCCGUGGCGGCCAGAACUGCACCUGCUGCUUAGGAAGGGCCCCAGAGAGAUCGGGGAAAUGAAUGGAACCUCGUAUUGUGAUGGACAAGAAAUAAUAUUGAGGGGGAGCGGGUAUAGGAAAAGGAAGAAUACGGCAAGUAAAAGAUGUAAACAAUCACCUCGAAGACUGUCCAUCCAGAUGCACUUAGGUGUGGCUGCUACGCAUCAGUUAUCAAAAAUGAUGGAACAACUCCUGAGCGAUGAACAUUAUUUUCAAACCACCUGCAGAUAGUAAAGUGUAGUGAAGUUUCCUUGGUCUGUUAAAGCCACAAGAGUUCACAGCUUCUGCCUCCUCUGGUGCCGUGGUGACCCCCACCCGCUUCCCCCAUGUCCAGCAGAGCCCCUCAGGGCUGGCUGGUCCCUUGCUGAGUUUGGGGCCGGCUCUCCGUUGCAGUGACCAGCAGCUGGGUAGAAGGUGGCUGCUGCAGCCCCCACCCUAGCACACUGCCUUCUGACACACGGUCAGUCAGCGGGGUACAAAUGGUCAGUGAGUUCAGUGUUCAGCACAGAACCUGGCCCAAAAUGUCCUCAGUUAACUGUCAGCUUCCUUCACCCUUUCUCAUCCUUGCCAGCAGGGACAGGCUCUCCGGUGACUUUGUACUGGGUCAACUUAGCCACGGGGGUCCGUGCUCCCCGGAAUUCCCUUCCUUGGGGUUGCAAGUGUUGAAAUAAAUUUCUAGGCUGAAGAUGGAGACACUCAUGCCUGGGGUGACCUGUCAGCACACCAAAACGUAGAUGACUUUCAUGUCCUACAAGCACUCGUUUGACCAGAAAUGCAGGGCAUCCAGCCAGCCGUCCCCAGAUGCACUACUAGCUCUGGGCCUCCUCACCCCAAACAAGGCGGGCUCUGCAGCCCCCGCUGAUUGCGUGCUUCCUCUUUGUCUCUUCUUCGUUCUCUAUUCUUUAUCCUGUGAGAGCUUCUUGCCUUCUGCCCCAUUUUGCAAUUUAAAAGGUCCACUUCAUAAAACAUUAAAGUUUGUAUUA